Molecule: long non-coding RNA, 526 nt
Organism: Dendronephthya gigantea
Lineage: Eukaryota; Metazoa; Cnidaria; Anthozoa; Malacalcyonacea; Nephtheidae
Exons: 3
Source: RefSeq, a predicted model, not a curated record
UUUAUAAAAAACAAAGUGGUGGUGUUAUAUAAUAUAAACAGGUGUGUGUUGUUGAUAAUAAGUGCUUGAACUACAUGGCUAGUUCUUUUAUAUUUUAGGUGAAAAAUAAAACUUCUGUCAACAAUAUGUUAAACAAGAAUAUUAUUCUGUAGACAAGUGGAGAAACAUGGAAAAAUCAAACAUUGUUCUCUCUCAAAAACCGAGUUCAGCCAACAGUGUGAGAAAAUAUUAAAAGGCAGUGAAUUCUGAAGCGCAUGAAGUCAUUUUGCAAACCAUCAGUUGAUUCAAACAAGACUGGCAGCUAAAGAAGUUAUAAAAGCUGUAAAACGUCGGCUUUGUUGCAUGCAAUACAUGUCCUGCACCACAUCAUAACGUCAUCACCGGAAAGGAGAGACGAGCCAAGAUAGCUGUACCUUGCCCAGGCGCGCUUUGUAACCGCGUGAUCUCUUUCUGUAUACCGUCACUUGUAUCCAAGGCAUAUUUCUCGUAUAAUGAAACUGCUUCUUGGCGUUUCAUUCCCAGGUAA